GUGGGGAAUCUUGCACAAUGGAGGCAACUCUGAUGCAGCGACGCCGCGUGAGCGAUGAAGCCCUUCGGGGUGUAAAGCUCUUUCGACGGGAACGAUAAUGACGGUACCCGAAGAAGAAGCUGCGGCUAACUACGUGCCAGCAGCCGCGGUAAUACGUAGGCAGCGAGCGUUGUUCGGAAUUAUUGGGCGUAAAGAGUGCGUAGGCGGUGCUCUAAGUCUGUCGUGAAAUCUCCCGGCUCAACUGGGAGGGUGCGGCGGAAACUGGAAUGCUAGAGUGUGGGAGAGGUAAGCGGAAUUCCUGGUGUAGCGGUGAAAUGCGUAGAUAUCAGGAGGAACACCCGUGGUGUAGACAGCUUACUGGACCACGACUGACGCUGAGGCACGAAAGCGUGGGUAGCAAACAGGAUUAGAAACCCUUGUAGUCC
RNAcentral lists this ribosomal RNA (425 nucleotides) under uncultured bacterium. Its description in RNAcentral is "bacterial SSU rRNA". It matches the Rfam family "Bacterial small subunit ribosomal RNA", at positions 354 to 796 of the family's 1533-position model. The record is from RNAcentral.